This 463-nucleotide ribosomal RNA is filed under the name uncultured bacterium. RNAcentral describes it as "partial 16S ribosomal RNA". It matches the Rfam family "Bacterial small subunit ribosomal RNA", at positions 28 to 507 of the family's 1533-position model. The record is from RNAcentral.
GACGAACGCUGGCGGCGUGCUUAACACAUGCAAGUCGAACGGAAAGGCCUUUUCGGAGGUACUCGAGUGGCGAACGGGUGAGUAACACGUGGGUGAUCUGCCCUGCACUCUGGGAUAAGCCUGGGAAACUGGGUCUAAUACCGGAUAGGACCGCACUUUAGUGUGUGUGGUGGAAAGUUUUUUCGGUGUAGGAUGAGCCCGCGGCCUAUCAGCUUGUUGGUGGGGUAAUGGCCUACCAAGGCGGCGACGGGUAGCCGGACUGAGAGGUUGGUCGGCCACAUUGGGACUGAGAUGCGGCCCAGACUCCUACGGGAGGCAGCAGUGGGGAAUAUUGCACAAUGGGCGCAAGCCUGAUGCAGCGACGCCGCGUGGGGGAUGACGGCCUUCGGGUUGUAAACGCCUUUCGCCAGGGACGAAGCGUUUUGUGACGGUACCUGGAGAAGAAGCACCGGCUAACUACGUG